Molecule: long non-coding RNA, 1201 nt
Filed under: Vulpes vulpes (red fox)
Lineage: Eukaryota; Metazoa; Chordata; Mammalia; Carnivora; Canidae
Description: lncRNA (ENSVVUG00000015062.1)
Source: RNAcentral
CCCAGAUGAAAACACAGAAUGCCUUGUCCCUUUCUAUCUUUCUAACAGAAUCCCACCCAGUUAGUGGGGUUACCACCAGCCUGUCUCCUCCUAAAAGGCCUCAGGGACCUUCCACAGCCUGGAUCUCACCCCCUCACCCCCUAUAGCCCCACCCCCACCCCGCAGAGGGCAGCCGACACAACAGGAUCAGCUACAAACCCAUUGGGAAUUUUGCACAGAAGCCUACUCCAAAAAUCCCAGCUCAUUCCCUCAAACAGACUCUCCCUCUAGGGUUUCAAAGCGCCUACUCAAGGGCCAGGAUGAAUCAACCUGACUUGGCAAAUGAAUAACAAGUGUGUCUCCCCAGAGUCACUUGAGCACGAAACAGCCAAAAAGUCCUGGGUGUCUGUUUCUCAACCUUUUCACCAAAUUCCAGACUGGUUCAUACAAUGUGGACCUAAGCUCUGUGAUUAACCAACAACACGGCUGGAAGCCACACAAGGUACAAGAAAUGCUCCCAGCCAGCACGAAGCUUUCAGUGACAUUUGCGGAUGAGACGUGAGGGGGCCACAAAGAUUGGGGCACUGCCUGACUUCCGGAAGGAAGGGCAAGAUUGCAGAGUCCCAAAAGAGAUCCCAGAUCGCCAAGUUCAUGGAAACAGACACCCUACUGAGGUGGCUUUCAGGCUCUGCUCAUGUCCCUACAUCUGUGACGCUUUCCUGGUGAGACUGAGGAUGUGGAAAGUAGAGCUCGUUCUAAGGAUGGCACAGAGCAGGAUCACUCAGGAUGAGAGACCAAGAUGCCAACCACAGGCCAGACCAUAUAUAAAGAUAGAACUUGAAUCCACAACCCGUGGCAACCAGCCCCAGAUGGCCCAGACUUCAUCAUCCAGCAGCUUCCCUAGUCAUUGUUCCUGCUUCCAGUUUAGGACAAAUCGGAGAAAGCCAAAUGUGGUUCCUUAACCAAUCACAGAGGAUGUCCCACUUCUGGUGAGCCACUCUCAGCUUCUCAGGCCCCCCAGUUUGACUAGGCAUGUCUGAGUCUCCCCUGUGGCCCACUGUAAAGCGUCACCACCCUGCUGCCUGCCUUUGGGUCUCUGCCAAAUACAAAUAACAGGGGCUUACUUGCUAUCAGAGACUCUGGAUAGAUAGCAUUGGCUUGUUCUCAUUUGGGUGGCUUUCACUCAUGUUGAUGCUGAACACCCCCCAGUGUGAGGUCUCAC